GCAGCACCAGACGGAGCGCUCUAGCUAAGGGAUACAGAUUAGAGAUGAGGACCUAACUCCAAAGAGUAAUAACUCUCUGCUGAAGUGACUUCACAGAUAAGAAAAACAAGGAAAAGAAGACAGAAAAGUCUCUCAAUGCCUUCUUCCUGCUCGACUACAGACUAGCUGGAGCUGCAGCCACCAUCCUGUGAUCAUGAGGCAACAAGCAUGGAGAUAAGUUUCAGAAAGUCACAGAAAUAGGAUCUUCCAGACCUAGGGAUUGAGCCUGCAUCUCCCGCAUUAAAGGUGGAUUCUCUACCACUGAACCACCAGAGAAGCCACGGUUCCAAUAUGACUGGUGUCCUUACAAGAAGAAAUGUGGACACAGAUAUGCAC
Long non-coding RNA from Bubalus bubalis (water buffalo), 375 nucleotides. RefSeq lists it as uncharacterized. NCBI's taxonomy places the organism in Eukaryota, Metazoa, Chordata, Mammalia, Artiodactyla, Bovidae. The record is from RefSeq and is a predicted model, not a curated record. The transcript has 3 exons.